AGGGGAAUCUUGCGCAAUGGGCGAAAGCCUGACGCAGCGACGCCGCGUGAAGGAUGAAGGCCUACGGGUUGUAAACUUCUGUUAAGUGGGAAGAAAGGCUCAAUUCUAAUAAAGUUGAGAGAUGACUGUACCAUUAGAGAAAGCACUGGCUAAACUCGUGCCAGCAGCCGCGGUAAUACGAGUGGUGCGAGCAUUAUUCGGAAUCAUUGGGCGUAAAGGGUGUGUAGGCGGCAUAUCAAGUCUGUUGUUAAAUCUCCCAGCCUAACUGGGAAAAUGCGGUGGAAACUGAUGUGCUAGAAGAUGGAAGAGAGAAGUGGAAUUCUCGGAGUAGCGGUAAAAUGCGUAGAUCUCGAGAGGAACACCAAUGGCGAAGGCAGCUUCUUGGUCCAAUCUUGACGCUGAGACACGAAAGCGUGGGUAGCAAACAGG
This 429-nucleotide ribosomal RNA is filed under the name uncultured bacterium. Its description in RNAcentral is "bacterial SSU rRNA". It matches the Rfam family "Bacterial small subunit ribosomal RNA", at positions 355 to 776 of the family's 1533-position model. The record is from RNAcentral.